Small nucleolar RNA from Ochotona princeps (American pika), 139 nucleotides. Its record names the gene SNORA63. It matches the Rfam family "Small nucleolar RNA SNORA63". Rfam says of the family: E3 belongs to the H/ACA class of snoRNAs and is involved in the processing of eukaryotic pre-rRNA and has regions of complementarity to 18S rRNA. Lineage: Eukaryota; Metazoa; Chordata; Mammalia; Lagomorpha; Ochotonidae. The record is from Ensembl.
CAGCAGGAUCUGGCUAUGUAUGAUGCAGCUGCAAAGUACUGCAUUGUCCUUGGUCCCUGCUCAAAAUAAGCUUGUGGCCCUCCUGGCCCUGUCUGCCAAGGUGCUCCACUGGCAGGCAGGGAUGUUGGGUCCCAUACAU